Molecule: unclassified non-coding RNA, 232 nt
Filed under: Hevea brasiliensis (rubber tree)
Lineage: Eukaryota; Viridiplantae; Streptophyta; Magnoliopsida; Malpighiales; Euphorbiaceae
Source: RNAcentral
AUCAUUCUUUUGCUGGUCAUCAUCUUGUUCGUGGUGUUGUUCACUGUGAGACCAUGGGAAAACAAUGGCGGUGGUGGUAGCAGCCAGCCAGCCCCUGCGCAGAAUCCACCUCCACCGCCCUCACCGGCGUAGGAUUUGAUGGGUUUGUAGCUCUAUACAUGCUGAUCAUAUGAACAUAUGUUAUAUUUUGUGGGAUAUUUUUUAAUCAACAAAACAAUAAUCAAGUUUCAAA